This 459-nucleotide ribosomal RNA is filed under the name uncultured bacterium. RNAcentral's name for it is "partial 16S ribosomal RNA". It matches the Rfam family "Bacterial small subunit ribosomal RNA", at positions 338 to 795 of the family's 1533-position model. The record is from RNAcentral.
CCUACGGGAGGCAGCAGUGAGGAAUAUUGGUCAAUGGGCGGGAGCCUGAACCAGCCAAGUCGCGUGAGGGAAGAAGGUCCUGCGUAUUGUAAACCUCUUUUGCAAGGGGACAAAGGCCUCCACGUGUGGCCGUCUGCGUGUACCUUGCGAAAAAGCAUCGGCUAACUCCGUGCCAGCAGCCGCGGUAAUACGGAGGAUGCGAGCGUUAUCCGGAUUUAUUGGGUUUAAAGGGUGCGCAGGCGGCGGUUCAAGUCAGCGGUAAAAUGGCGGGGCUCAACCCCGGCCGGCAGUUGAAACUGGCGGGCUCGAGUGGGAGAGAGGUAGGCGGAAUUCGUGGUGUAGCGGUGAAAUGCAUAGAUAUAACGAAGAACCCCGAUUGCGAAGGCAGCAUACCGGGUCGAGACUGACGCUGAGGCACGAAAGCGUGGGUAUCAAACAGGAUUAGAUACCCCUGUAGUC